RNAcentral lists this transfer RNA (106 nucleotides) under Lachnellula occidentalis. It matches the Rfam family "tRNA". From Rfam's summary of the family: Transfer RNA (tRNA) molecules are approximately 80 nucleotides in length. Their secondary structure includes four short double-helical elements and three loops (D, anti-codon, and T loops). Lineage: Eukaryota; Fungi; Ascomycota; Leotiomycetes; Helotiales; Lachnaceae. The record is from Rfam by way of RNAcentral.
GUCAACGUGCCAGAGUGGUUAAUGGGUAUGACUCGAAUGACUCCUCCUAGGAGUUGCCAGAUAUCAUAUGGUUUCGGCCGCGUAGGUUCAAAUCCUGCCGUUGACG